UUCGCCCUUAGAGUUUGAUCCUGGCUCAGAAUGAACGCUGGCGGCAUGCCUAACACAUGCAAGUCGAACGAAGGCUUCGGCCUUAGUGGCGCACGGGUGCGUAACGCGUGGGAAUCUGCCCUCAGGUUCGGAAUAACAGCGAGAAAUUGCUGCUAAUACCGGAUGAUAUCGCGAGAUCAAAGAUUUAUCGCCUGAGGAUGAGCCCGCGUAGGAUUAGCUAGUUGGUGUGGUAAAGGCGCACCAAGGCGACGAUCCUUAGCUGGUCUGAGAGGAUGAUCAGCCACACUGGGGACUGAGACACGGCCCAGACUCCUACGGGAGGCAGCAGAAGGG
RNAcentral lists this ribosomal RNA (333 nucleotides) under uncultured Sphingomonas sp. Its description in RNAcentral is "bacterial SSU rRNA". It matches the Rfam family "Bacterial small subunit ribosomal RNA", at positions 1 to 359 of the family's 1533-position model. The record is from RNAcentral. Lineage: Bacteria; Pseudomonadati; Pseudomonadota; Alphaproteobacteria; Sphingomonadales; Sphingomonadaceae.